Molecule: ribosomal RNA, 253 nt
Filed under: uncultured bacterium
Lineage: Bacteria
Description: partial 16S ribosomal RNA
Rfam family: Bacterial small subunit ribosomal RNA
Source: RNAcentral
UACGUAGGUGGCGAGCGUUGUCCGGAUUUACUGGGCGUAAAGAGCGCGCAGGCGGUCGUACAAGUCGCGUGUGAAAGCCCCCGGCUCAACUGGGGAGGGUCACGCGAUACUGUUCGACUCGAAGGCAGGAGAGGGUAGUGGAAUUCCCGGUGUAGUGGUGAAAUGCGUAGAUAUCGGGAGGAACACCAGUGGCGAAGGCGGGUCUCUGGGCCGAUACUGACGCUGAGGAGCGAAAGCGUGGGGAGCGAACAGG